CUCUUCCUUGUGAAGCAGCAAAUGCAACAUACCUAAAGGUGAAUAGAGUAUUUAUUUGUACUAUAAAUGUCAUAAGAAAAAGUUGACUAUAGGCUGGUUAUAGUUUACCCAUGAUUCAUCAUGUCAUUCUUAGGUGCAUAAACUAAGGUGUACAUAAUUUAUUUUGUGGAGGAAGAAUAUGGUAACUUAAACAGUAUUACAUGUGAUGCCAUGUCGCUGCGGGGAAGCAUUCACACACUCACGUUUGGCAUGUUCCAUGCAGCAGACCUGUCGUCAUUGGUUGAGGUAAGCAAUGUUUCUUGCUUUCUCAUAUAUUUGUUUUUAUUCACUAAGUUCGACUUUGUACUUGGGAAGUCAAAUCACUAUUUAUGUUCAAGGUUGUCAUGAAAAUUUCAAAAAUGGAAUGGAAUGAAUUAACA
Molecule: long non-coding RNA, 419 nt
Filed under: Triticum aestivum (bread wheat)
Lineage: Eukaryota; Viridiplantae; Streptophyta; Magnoliopsida; Poales; Poaceae
Description: long non-coding RNA (TAES_LNC003011)
Source: RNAcentral